GCGCGCCGCGGCCGCGCGGUGAUGAAUGGGCCGCGCGCGCCCGGCCGCCCCCGCCGCCGCCGCCCUGGUACCGCGGGCGGAGGGCGACACCGCGUGGCCGCGCCAGGAACUGCGGGCCGCGGGCCAUCGUUCAGUGCUCAAAAACUCUCAGUUUAGCACGGAGCCUGGCACACUAUGAGGAAGCUGAGGCACAGUGAAGGGACGUAAACCCACCUGCCGAAGAAGACACACCUGUACGUGAAAGGGCCUCACCUCAAGCAGGGCAGCCGGCUCUGGUGCCCACCUCCACCAUGCCUCCACUCAGGGCUCUUGGAUGGGACAGGCGUGGGCGUGCACCCCGGCUCCAACCUUCUCCAGCAAGUGACCCCAGCAAACCUCUUCCCCUCUCUGGAUCUCCAUUCCUUCCAUUUCUAAGUGGAGCGAAUGAAAUGACCGACCCCGCAGGGUGGUGGCAAAGAAGAGGAAGCAGCCGUGGGAAAGGCACUCAGCAGAUCCUGCCCCACCAGCAGCCAAGCCGAUUUGCUCUUCUCGCUGAAAGUGUCACGGUUUCCUG
Molecule: long non-coding RNA, 553 nt
Organism: Neofelis nebulosa (Clouded leopard)
Lineage: Eukaryota; Metazoa; Chordata; Mammalia; Carnivora; Felidae
Exons: 3
Source: RefSeq, a predicted model, not a curated record